Molecule: non-coding RNA, 1790 nt
Organism: Vicugna pacos (alpaca)
Lineage: Eukaryota; Metazoa; Chordata; Mammalia; Artiodactyla; Camelidae
Source: RefSeq, a predicted model, not a curated record
UAGGAGUUUCUACGUGUAUAGAUGGUUCGCGUUGCAGUUGUUUUUUGUGCCUGUCUUUUCCAUUGUGAUUCAGACUUCUCAACAGCAGGAGUAUUUGCAUAAGUAUCCUUUAAAAGUGGGUUAAAAGAGAAGACAUCACUGGCAAAGUAAUCAUAAACAGAGAGAGAAGCUGAAGAAAAUCUAAGUUGAGAGGAUGCUUGUUCAAGGAUGUAAACAACAAACUGGUGAACUCUUUACUGAAUUUGCUGUGGUGUGACAGUUGCUGCUCUGACUCAAAAGAAGAGGAAAGCCUCACGAACUUGAUGCCAUCUGCACUGGGCUGAAUCCAAGCAAGCAAACAGCCAGCCAGGAGGCUGAACGCAGGAGCAGUGGGUUGCAGGCCGAGAAACAUCUGGUCCCUGGAGUCACCAAGGCAAUUCCAGAAAAUGAUGCGCCAGUGGACCUUCGGAGAACACAUGAAAAAAAGAAAGUUUAAUAUUUUCUCCUGCCGGCUGACCUUCCCUACGGUGGCUCUCUCUCACAAGAAGAUAUAAGGCAUAGCCUGUAAUAAAAUAGGUGCUAUGGACUGUUUGUGUCCCAGCAAAAUUUGUGUGUUGGAAUCUAAUCCCCAGUGUAAUGAUAUUUGGAGGUGGGGCCUUUGGUGAUUAGGUUAUAAGUGCAGAGCCUUCAUGAAUGGGGUUAGUGCUCUCAUAAAAGAGACCCUAGAGAGAUGCUGGCCUCUUCUCCCUUGAGAACUCGGCCACGUGAGGACCAGGAAGCAGGUGCUCAUCAGACCCUCUGCCUGCCAGCACCUUGAACGUGGACCUUCCAGCCUCCAGGACUGAGAGAAGUAAAGGUCUGCUACUUCAGUCACCCGGCCUAUGGUAUUUGGUUACAACACCCGAACAGACACCAGUAACUAGGGCCGGAAAGUUCUCCAGUAGACAGUGUGUUACUUGAGAACAGGAACUGGCACGACACAUGACACGGAGCUACCGUCCAGUUUAAUAAAUGAGCUGACCUGCCAAUUCUGGACCAACCAGGGACAGGACUGGGGACUGACUCCCACCUAGAGCAGACCCAGAGAGUACAGACAGCUCUGGGUCUUCCCUUCCUCCAAGCCAGGGAGUUUUAGAAGCUGAUUCAGAGACCGAGUCCCAAAGUAGGCGGCUGGACAGGGAUGGGAACUGUGGGAUCGCAGUCUAUGUUUUGCCAUCAGAUAAAAUUAACAGUUGCGCCAGCAGGUCAAGGAGUAAUUCACUCCCGUUUGUGCCACAGCGUAGGUACAGGGAAUACGGAAAAAGAGCAAGCAAAGUGCCCGGUGUCUUUGGAGCAGUCGCUGAAGGCUGCUCUUGUGGGAUGCAGAUAUUAAUUAAGGAUAAGAUACUUCAUUUUUUUUUAAAGUUGCUGUUAGGCUCCUGUCACUGCAUUUCGUGAAUAGCAGUUGCAACGAGAGGUGAAAUCUAUAGAAUCCAAAAUACGAAUCUGCCGAAGUUUGGCCUGACAGGUUUAAAGUGAUGACCAGGAUGUGGAGCCAAUCAUGGGAAGACGGGAAGUGUUUCCUGGAGGAAGGAAGUCAAAGCUCGGAGGCAGAAACAAGUGGGAUAUGGUCAAGGGAGAGAAAGCAGGCCAUUAUAUCUGGGACGUGGAGAGUGAGGGAGGCAGUGACGGCAAGUGGAGGGAUGAGAGGUAGGCAGUGAUCAGAUCUGCGGACAAGUUAGGAAGUUUCCUCUAAGAGCAAUACAAAGCCAUGGGAGGUUUAAGCAGUGGGGCGACAUGAUUAGAGUCACAGUUCAUUCUUACCUUUGGAU